RNAcentral lists this small RNA (2332 nucleotides) under Rattus norvegicus (Norway rat). Its description in RNAcentral is "uncharacterized LOC102552210". The record is from RNAcentral. Lineage: Eukaryota; Metazoa; Chordata; Mammalia; Rodentia; Muridae.
UAUUAAGGAAAAGGACAGGCUAAUGCCAGAAUUCUGCAUUGAAGACUGAGGAAGACAUGACAAUUCUUUGUCAUCUAAGAGAUGUGUUCUAUUUUUAUUUAGUUGUAUUUAUCUUUUAAAUACAUGAUAGAUUCUGAAAAUCAAAAGUGACUUGAAAGACUUGCCAACUGUCUCACGUAUUUUACCCAAAGGAGACAGAGCAGAAUGCCUCCACAGGCAAAAUCACACAACAUAAAUCUUUGAUGUUAUAGUCCCCUUGUGAUCAACCAACUUAAAAAGCCACAUCUACGUUCAGGAGUCAUUAACUGAGUUCACAGUGACUUUAUUCCCUUUUCUCUGCCUUACGCACAUUCCCCUGGCCUUCUGUUUAUUUAAUGAAUUCCAUAAAGUUUUACAAGAAAUUUGCAUCAUUCAUGACUUUCCAAAGUUGGCGUUAUCUCAUUUUCUGCAAUCACCAUUAUGGGUUCAGACAUAAACUGAGGCUAAAAGAUAUGAAGGGAGUGUAAUUAGCAGUUUGAAGGAAAACGUUUUCUCAGCCUUUGAGGGGAUUCCCAGUUGUAUACAACUUUAAGAAUUAUUGACUACCAUCUUCCAAAAAAAAUUGAGGGUGACAUGUUUGGACAGAAAGAAAGCUAGAAAAUUGGUAUAUUAAAUAAAUCCUUCGGGAAAUUUUUGUGCCAGGAAACCUGUUCCAAAUACCAUUCUUGAAUCAUGACUUCUCAGUGUUGUGACUUAAUGAAUCUUCUGGCUGAGCAGUAAAUCACUUGGGUUGGAAUUUUUCACUAUCUCACUAGUUAUAAUACACCAAAUAUUUUACAUGGUAUAUAGAAUCAAGAUCUUUGGCAUUUUUAUAUGUUUAAGUAGGGAAAUUAUUUGAUUCAGAAGUAUUAUCAAGGUAUUAAAGUUUUCUUUCAUUAUUAUUAAACGUAUUAGAUAUAGGUUAGCCAGAAUUUACUACCAGUGAAUUGGAAAUUGAGUUUGGAAGAAAUAUAAAAUAUAUGAAAUGUUUUAUUUUCUUGUUUGCUUGGGUGUAUACUGAAUGAGUGGUUCUCUCUGGAGUCUUCCCUAUUUUAUUUAUUGAUGCAGAGUCUCUUGCGGAACCUGAAGCUAGCUUGUUUUGCUAGUAUAUCUGGCCAGCUGCUAAGGCAUGCUCUCUGUUUUCCAAGUGUUGAAAUGAAGAGAGGCUGCUGCCUUCUUCAGUGUGCAUUCUGGCAUGCAUCUCUGGGAUCCUUGUUGAGCAUGAGAAAAUAUUUUAAACUUUGCUGGCAACCUUUAGAGAAAAGCAGACUACAUACAAAUAAUCGUAAGAGCACUUCAGGUACAUAAAAGUGUUGCAACUGUUGGAGACUUUAUGAAAAAUACUAGCAUCAGGUAUGAGAAGUCGAGGUUGAAGCUUGUCAAUGUAAUCCAAGUGACUCUCAAACAACACAGGCCCUUGCUGACGUCUUACAGAUAAGAGGUAAGGACAUUUUGCAGAAGACAUCAUAUACUUCAUCCUCAGGACUAAAAAAAUUGAAUUAAAUCUAACCUAAAAACCCACUUCAUUACUGUCCAGCUUGCAAAUUCCAUGUAGGAGUCUGUAAGCUUCCAAGGGAAGGAAGUAACCGAUAGUCCGAUCCAGCUUUAAUGCAUAAGAGCAUUAAAUGUUCAUAAGAACAAUGAGGGGGAUCAUACUAGUAUAAUAUUCCUAGACGUACAAUAGUGACCCACAAAUAUUGGCAGUAACCAAUAAUUGUCUACAUUGAUUUGAACUUGUUAAACAGAAGAAAAAUCAAGUUUUGUUCUAGAAACUUAAUCAGGUAACCUGUGUUAUUGAGUUCAUGAAUCGUAGAAGAGAACCUAUUACUAACACUUUACAUAGACCAGCAUAAUUCCUAAUUUCAUCCUAAUUCUUUCCCAUAUACUCACAGAUAACUAUAGGUAUUACUCCUCAUUAGAGAAGCUUCUGUUAACAGAUAGUGGAGACCAUUAUAGAAAAUUACAAUGGGUUAUAAAACAGUGAUCAAUGGAUCAUAGAUAUUCCAAACACAAAGAAUAUAUCUAGAACUCAAUUCUUGCAACGAUAGCUCCACUAUAGGGCAAAAGCAGGAACAAAUAUUAAGGAGGCAAGAUGACCCAGAAGUUUGCUACAAGAUUGUGUUUCCUAGAGACACAAAUUCAGAGAUGCUACAGCCAUGAUACCCCAAGAAUAAGACUGCCUAAGUAAGACCUGAACAAAGGCAGUAUCAGCAAACAUGCAAAUGUUGUAGUGAAUACAGCCAUGGGCCCACCCAUUGAUGAGGAAUACAGGUCAAUGAAGACUACUGAGAGAUAGGGAAUUGACCUCUCUAGG